AACAAUGCACUUGAGGGGAUGCUUCCUCGUUGUUUUAGUAACUUGACAUCUCUUCGUGUGUUAGAUGUUUCAAGAAACCAUUUUCAAAUUCCGCUGUCAUUUGCACCAUUUGCAAACCUUUCAAACCUCAAAGUCCUUUCGAUUAAUGAAAACAAGAUGGUAAUGGAAUCUUCCUUUUAUACCUCAAUCCCAAAGUUCCAAUUGGAAGUCAUCAGUCUGCCAAAGUGCAUAGCAUCUCAACAACUCAGUCGUAAAUUUCCUACCUUCCUUUACUACCAAUAUGACUUGAGAUAUGUGGAUCUUUCUCAUAACAAUCUCAGUGGAACUGUACCAACUUGGUUGCUAGAAAACAACACAAAGUUAGAAGAUCUCAUCUUGAAGGGUAAUUCAUUUACAGGUCCUCUCUCACUUUCGUCGGCUCUUAUUUCUGAUGUAUCUUCAAUUGACAUAUCUGAAAACAAAUUACAAGGUCAAAUUCCAACUGGUAUAUGUUCAACUUUUCCACAUUUGAGUCGGUUAUUCUUAUCCAAGAAUGCUUUUGAAGGUAAUAUCCCACUUUGUUUAAGUGGCAUGAAGGACUUAUCAUUUUUAGAUCUAUCAGACAAUCAUUUGUAUGGAAAAGUACCAGAAGAGUUGAUCACGAAAGGCUCACUGACCAUUUUGAGACUAUCAAAUAACAACCUCAGUGGAAAUGUAGUUCCUGUGAUUCUCAGCGCAAAUAGGGUGCAGCAUUUAUAUUUGGAUGGAAAUAAUUUUUCAGGAGAGAUGACAAAUGUUGAUGUGUCUACUUUUGAGUUUCCAAAUUCACUAAGCGAAAUUGAUCUCAGUAACAACAAGUUGCAUGGAAAGCUCCCAAGAUGGAUAGGGAAUGCAUCGUUUUUGCAGAGAUUAGCUAUGUCCAACAAUGGUUUUGAAGGUUCCAUUCCAAUGGAAUUUUGCAAGUUGAAUAGGUUGGAAUUUUUGGAUCUUUCUCAAAAUAAUUUAUCUGGCUCUAUACCGUCAUGUUUUAAUCCACCAUACAUAGAGCAUGUCCACCUCCACGGGAAUAGACUGAGAGGCCCACUAUCACUUGCUUUUUAUAAUAGCUCUUCAAUAGUGACUUUAGAUCUUAGAGGAAACAAUUUGACAGGUAGUAUUCCAAAAUGGAUUUACACGCUUUCUUCUUUGAGUGUUCUUCUCUUGAAAGAUAAUCAUUUUCAUGGUAAAGUUCCUGUUGAGUUAUGCAAGUUGCAUUCUUUAAGCAUCAUAGAUCUUUCUCAAAAUAUGUUUUCUGGUCCUAUACCUUCUUGUUUGGGAAAUUUAUCUCUUCCAAUGCAAAGGAAGAAGAUUCUAGAAAUUGGGUUCUAUAGGCCAUCUAUAGAAGAGCAUGAAACAACACUAAAUUUUGGAAUGGAUCUUUACUAUCCUGAUAGCUACUUAGAAGAAGUAAUAGAGUUCACAACAAAGAGUGGGCUCUUUUUGUACGAGGGCAACAUCCUUUCAUAUAUGACCGGGAUUGAUUUAUCUUGCAACAACUUAACUGGUCAUAUCCCAUCAGAAUUAGGGAACUUGAGUGAAAUCUAUUCUUUAAACCUUUCACAUAAUAAGUUGACCGGAGUUAUACCCUCGUCAUUUGCAAAACUUCAUCAAAUUGAGAGUUUGGACCUUUCUUACAACAACUUGAGUGGUGAAAUCCCCAAUCAGUUGGUAGAGUUGAACUCUUUGGAGAUUUUCAGUGUGGCAUACAACAACUUGUCAGGUAGUAUUCCCGAACCAAAAGCUCAAUUUGGGACCUUUAUUGAAAACAGUUAUGAAGGAAACCCUUUUCUUUGUGGACCUAUACUGCAUAAAAGUUGUUCCAAAACCGAUUCACCAUCAACAAUAUCAACUGUAUCAGAAGAUAAAGGAGAAGAUGGUUUGAUAGAUACUUAUGAUUUUUGUGUGAGCUUUUUGGUUUCUUAUGUAGUUGUGUUGUUGACAAUUUUUGUUGUCCUCUACAUAAAUCCAUACUGGCGAAGAGCUUGGUUUUCUCUUGUUGGGAAAUGCAUUACCACCUGUCGCUACUCAAAUGUGGGCAAUUUUCUUACUUAUCACAUUUUCAAGCGAUGUGUUUAGCUACUCAAAUUGUGAUUUGAUUUCCACACCUAAAUGUUUAAUUAUGCUAAGUUGAGCGAUAAUGAAUAUUUUGUUGAUUUUUGCAUUUUGAAUAAAAGCUCUUUUAUCUUGUGGUUUUAUCAUUUUCAACCAUCUAUUUCUUUUUUCUUCUAUGAAAUUUAAUAUAAAAUCAUAAUCCAUUAUUAUGUAUAUGCAAUAUCUCUUUAAAUUAAAUUAAAUUAACUGCCUAGCGUUCACUAGUGCAUAGUAAAAAGGAAAUCUAAUGUAAAAUUAAAUCAAACAUACUACAGAAUUGAAUCUAAAACUGGAAUAUUUUAAAACCUCACAAACAAUGCAAUUCUUUAUUCCUCUUUUCCUCUCAAGUUAUUUUGUAUCAUGUUAUAUUUUACAUAAUUAUUCGUAUCAUCAAAUUUUAAAAAAAAUUUAAUAUUUUGAUAUCAUGUUCAUAUUAUGCUUUAAUUCACAAUGUAUUUUGUAUAAUAUGUUAUAACAAUUCAAUUUAAAAAACAAGCAAUUAUCUUAUUUUUGCAUACCGUAAUAUACAUUUACAUGUUAAUAAUUCUUUGUACAUAAAUUUUGACAUGUUCGUAUAUUCGAGUCAUUAUAAUUUUAUUAUUUGUAAUAUGACAUGUUUUACUUACCCUUAAUAUUGUGUCAUGAUAAUUAUAACUCGAUUGGCAGUGUACCAAAUAUUUUUCUAAUAAAAAAUAGUAUUUUAUUCUAUUUACCAAAUCCUUAUCAACUUUAUUUUCUCACCAACAAAACAUACAUUCAAAGUUCAAAUAAGUUCCACACCCAUUUUUUUACUGCAAUACUCAAGAAUAUGCUCAUCAUCAGAAAUCUGAAAUAUUCCACUCUAAUUAACAUUAUGAUUCUGUAAACAACAAAAAAGUGUGAUACUUUUUUAAAGCUCUUUUUUUUUCUUUAAUGAAAUGGGAUUGGUAAAAAAUCCGCACAUGUGUCGUGUGUGAAGGUGGUCAGGUUGUCUAUUCAUACUGUAAUAAGUAGCUAAUUAUAGUUGAUCCUACAAAAUCAAAUUUAAUUCAGGUAUCUAUAUAUUCUGAAGACUGGACAGACCUUAGAAGCUCCUUCAAAUUUGCUAGAACAUGCCGUGGUCCUAAACUCUUUACACCGAUGAAAUUCAAAAGUUGCUCUAUAUCCUGCAAUCACAGUAAAGAUUAUGCAAGCUUUUCAGAACGAAUAACAUAACAAGCAAAAGGCAAUCAAAAUACUGUGAUCUCGAUAAUGUUCUUUGCCGAAAAGGAACAUAAACAUAACCUGAAAACAUCAGUGAAGGCUCAUCAGAUUUGCUUAGCAACCUUACAUACACAUGUAAAAAGCUUUGCUUUUGGAUGUAAGGUGUGACUAUCAUCACAGUCUUUCCUAAUUAGCUGAUAACCCUAUAUCUAACAUUUAUCAGGGCUAAGCAAAUUAACAUACAUAAUGUAAAGGAAUUUGACCAUAAGAUCCAACAGAAAACUUAAUAAAAGAUAAUCAACAUAGAAAGUUAAAAGGCAAUGCAAACUUAUUACAAUGAUGCAAGUGGAUCAAAAGAAAGCACUCUAUAAGGAAUUUGCAUUUAAGGCAUUGUAAACAGAAAAAAAAAUAAUAAAACUUUUUGGAAAGUAUUUUCAAAGAGGAGACAAAAACAGGGUAGAAAAAAUGUUUGGUCCUUCCUUUUUCUAUUUCUACUGUGGUGAAAAAGCCUUUUUGGGUUAAAAGUGUUUUUACACUGCAGAAGUGUUUUUCCACUGCAGAAGUGAUGAAGAACACAUAGCUUUGUAGUCAAAAACCUACUGCUUUUGGCUUUUGCAUUUCGAAGUGAAAAUUAUAAAAAUACUCUUAGAUUAAUUUAUAUUUUAUAUAUUAUUAUAUUAAAUUGUUAAAUCUUAUUUAUUAUUAUAUUUAAUUUUUUUCAAAAUAUUUUAUACAUCAUCAAUUUUACAAAUAAUUUAUAUUAAUUACUUUUAAAAGUUAUAUUUCAUGUAUCAUUAUAUUAAAUUAUUUAAAUAUCAUAUAACAUCACUAAUUUUCUACUUUCUACCAUCAUGUCUAAAAUAGACAUUUUAACUUUCAACCGCAAUUUUUGGCAGCAAUGAACAACACUAAAAACUAACAAACACACUUUUCCGCACCACAUUUCAAAAACACUUUUUUCUAAACGCACUUUUGAACUAGUCCUUAGUCUAUCAUGCAUCAACUCUUCAUUUUUCUUUAACUACCCAUGUCCGACUUCGAACAUGGAUAUGGAGAUAUGACCAAGUCACAGUGACAUAGUUUUUAGUUAUGGGGAAUGGGAUUCGAGUGCUGGACCUCCUUCUAGAUGCAUGGUGGGACUUCAUCACAUUUUUCAAAUUUGUUGAUAAUCCUUCACCUAAUCUGCCGGUGAAGUUUAUAGAUAGUCUUAAGUGUCUAUCACAAGAACCUAGAUAUUGUAAAUCAAAUAUCUUCCAAACAAUUCAACCAUGAUAUUAAUGAUGAUGGAAGCAAGAUUAUCCACUAUCAAUGACAUAAAAUGAGCUGUAAAUGCUGACGAACAAACAUGCACUGUUUUUCCAACCUGUGGAUUGAAGAGCAUUGACAAGCUAACUUUGCAGACCAUUUGAAUCCAAUACUAUACAUAAAAAUGCCAAAGGAGAAUAAUUCAUCUUGGAAAAAGAAUUACUAAUAUGCAAAAGCUUACCUUGUUUAACAAGAACACAGCAUAUGCUGCUCUUGUCGUGUCUUGACCUUCUAAAAACAGCGGAAAUUCUGCCAGCUUUACAUUUGCUGAAAGUGUUGUAUCCAAUGACAAAUCAGAAGAUGCAGGGUCUAUUGAAGACGCAUGGUCAUUAAUAUAUGAGCGAGAACCACCCAAGCGCAGAGGAUAACGCAAGGGAACUUGUAAAUAGGAUGCAAUUAGUGAAACAGCCUGCAAAUGAUGAAAUAACAGGAAACAAGAAACAAUAAUAGGUAUGAUUAAAAUUAUAGCCUCAGCAUGAGAAACAAGCAAUCAAGAUGCAGCCCACUAUACCAUAUUACCAUCCUAGCAAUUAAAAAUUACUACAGCAUCUUCAAGCAACAAGGGAUUGUAGGUGGUAGGUCAAAAAACUUGAUAUCCACAGCUUGAUAUUAUCAGAAAAAACAAAUUCAGUAAUAAAUGAUAACUUCACAGAAGAAAUAGAACGCACAUGUGCAACAUAUCCCAAGGCAGUUGCAGAUCUCUGAACCUCCUUUUUGUCAGUGAAAAAACUCAUCUUUGUAAAAGGAAGCAAGGUGAGAUUCAGACCUAAAAUUGUCAACGAUCCUUGAUUGACGGGCUUUGAUGCAGAAGGAUUCCCUAGUGAAGAUAGGAACAAAGGAACUUCAUAUCAAUACAUCACCAGACACCACCUCUUUGUGAAAGUCAAAACAAAAUUCAAAAAAAUAUAAUCAUGAAAGUAAGAGAUAUGUAAAAAGUUCAUAAUAUUCAAGAGCAAAAAAAAAUUGUUUUGAUAUGAGGAGAAUUGAAUAGUAGAUUGCUAAAAGAGGAAUAACUGAAUACAACCAUCAUAACCAAAAGAAGAGUCAAGUGAUAGGUAAUGGUACUCCCUAAGCUGUUUAGGAAUCAUAAAAGACUUGUCCAGUUGACAAAAAUAACUCAUUUUAUUCAUAUUGGACCAACCAUAUUUGAUAUCAAAGGAUAUGGAUAUCCAGGCAUGCCAUUUAUAGAUAUUCCCAGUGUUGCAAGAAGGAAUUGUUCAAGAGAAAGAAGCUGCUAUUGUUGGUAAAGUUUUCCUCAAACCAUUUUGAACAUCCAAAAUCUCAAGAACAAAAAAGAAAACGUAGGAGGAAAUAUAACAAGCAUCACAACGGGUUCUCGAUGAUAUAAGUGAGAGGAUAAAUGUUAAUUAAGAUUAUAAAAAUAAACCACAAACUAAACAGGAAAGACAUGGAUUUCAAAACGAGGAGACUGGCUGCUAAUUAAAACCAUAUGCGGUGUUGUCUAGGGAGCAAGGCGCAUUCUAGGUGCUAACCUUUAUAUUGCCUCAAGCACAAGGCACAAAAGGAAGCGCUAGCCUGAGUGCAGUAAAGCGCAAUACGUAUAUGUGAGAGUUUUUGCAAGUCUGUGUGUCUACAACAUAAAAGUUUUAAGAUAUAUAGUAAACUCUAAAGUGUGGUCUGGUUUAUCCACAAAACUUGCAAAAUUUUUAUAGGUGAAUGCUCAAAUAUUGAGAAUUAUAGAGUUUGAUAUUAUCCCUUUCUUAUUAGUAAAGGUGUAUCAAAUGAAAACAGUAAAAAAUAAAAUAAAAUAUUGAGAAAUUCAACAAGGCAGGCUUUUUCUAAUGCCCAUUGCCUUACAAAAAAAGUGUGCCUAGGUGCACCAGGCAUACGCUUGAUCAAAUGGACCUCACCUGGAAGGGUCCAAGGCGUUUGGUUGUAUAAAACUAAGGCGUAGGCAUGCCUAGGCGCAUGCCUUGACGACACUGACCAUAUGUUGGCUUUAUUGCAAAGCAUUAGCAAUCCAAAACUACUAGCACAUUACCUAAUCUACUACUGCUAGAAUAGGACUCAAGUUCUUGCUCCUGUGCAGGUCCAACCAAGAUCUUUACAGGAUACAAUAAUGAAACUUGUGAUAUCAUAUAUUGUUGCCUUGCUCGAAGCUUCCUUUGCACAUUUUUAAGUUUAACACAACCCCUUUCUUCAGUGAGUAAUCUAUUUGCUUCCUGUGAUAAAAACAACAUAUAAUCAAUCAUGCCACGCAUGCAAGACUACCAACCAACUAUCUAACAAAAGAUACAAAGAAGUAGGAGAGCAAGAAGGGGAUAACCCUUGACUAUGCAAAGGAAUUCAUAGAAUGAGAAUCAUCUCAUCUAAGCCCCUCAACCACCUUCACAGGGGGUGGAGGUGCAAAGAGAGAGGUCUUAUUGAUCCGAGAGGAGAAUAUAUAACAUCUAAAGCUGAAUAAGAAGAAACCUUCAAAUAUAUCAUAAAUUCAGAAUUCAUGAUAAUAUAAAAAUGAAAUUCCAAAGCUAAUUUAAGCUAGAAUAAAAAUGCUUCACCUGUAAUCACUUCCUUGCUACAGAAAGAGAGGUACCAGCAACCAACAAUGAUCUUACUUCAGUACUAAGCAUUUCCUCCUGUUUUUUGGCAUCCUCUGUUGCAACUUUGCAAUGAGUUGACAUGUUUGCCAUAAAUACUUUCCUUGCCUCGAGUCUCUCACGCAUUUCCUCAAGCUCGUUCAGUUUAUUCAAAGACUCAUUUUUUACCAGCACAGCAUGUUCCCACCCAUUAAUCAGUGGGCCAAUUAAUUAGGUCACAGAAGACAAAACUAAAUUAUCACUCACCAGGUCCCCUUGAAGUGUCAUAUGGCUUUAACAAUUCAACGUGCAAUAUCUAGUAAAAGUAAAAUAAACAUAGAAGAAUGCAAAUGCAAUUCUUAAACGCCUUUAAAUGGACAACAUGAAACACUUUAAGAGCCCUAUAAAACAGAAAAGUGGAAAAAAAAUCUGAAAAGGAAAAAAAAAUGAAUUGAAACAAUAAAUCCAUCUGGUACAAACAGCAACAAAUCUCAAAAUAAGCUUUGGCUUUAGCCCAUUAAAGCCCGGGCAUCCGGCCAAAUAAACAGUGACUGCCAUGUCAACUUUUUGAGACGGUAGAAAAGAGCUCAAAAAUCUCAAUUUCCAAAAAUAAGGACAUAAGAAGGAAAACAAUUUACUUAUUCUUACAGUAGAAGAGCAAAAUGAAACUAAAUGAAGGAUAAGGGAACUGAUGCGAAUUGACAUUGUUAUUUUUGGGACUAAAAAGAAUACGCAGAUUGAAUAUUUAAGAUUUUGUAAGUGAAAAGUUCCAUUCACCGACACAAUUAUCAUCGCCCUUUAUCCCAGUAAAGCUUAAUUGACAAUUUUUCUGUCUCGUGUUCUUGCUAAAGCAUUUGAGCAACCCAACAGAAAUCAUUAUAUUUCAAACUGAAAUGAUUGGCUUUAACAAUUUCACAACCUAUACCGCCCAACCUAGUAAGUAAUUUAGGUGCAGACACCAGAAAUCUAUUUUCUUUGCACUCUACAACUAAAUAGCAUACCACUUAUCAAUCAAACACAGCUGAAAACUUCAGUGAGGGAACAUUAUGUAAAAUGAAAAAACUAUAACUUCAACUUGAUUCAUAGCUCGGCAAGUUCAGGGAAUUGGGACUUCUACCACGAUGAUCCAGUUCAAUGUGAAACAGUGAUCCAUAUAAUGCAUAUCGGUUCCCGGAACAAGAGGUAAAACCAGCAAAUUAGGUAAACAAUGAUCCUACUAUAUUUCAGAAUAGCAACAUUGAGCAUGAAAGCUAAAAUUAUAGCAUAUUAUGGGUCCUUGCUCUCUACAACUACAUAUAAAAUUACUAAACAAUAUUACUACAUUAAGGAUCCAGAAAAACUUUGUUUCAAUUGUUGAUCACUUGAUCCAACUAUUUUAGAAAGUUUAUUCUUCUUUUUCCUUUCCCUUAUUUUCUAAAUCAGGAAAAACAGUAGCAUAUAAAUUGGAUUACUACUCCAAGUUUCUGAAAUUUCAACAAUAUCCCUUUUACCUUUUCACUCAAGUCAUUACCCCCCAAUUAACAAAUAUAUUCCCAGUUUCCCUUUCCCUUCAAACACCCCUUUUUUUUUCCUCUACCCAAAUUCAGCUUAUGUUCAAAAACCCAAAAUUGGUUUGCUAAAAUAACAUAAUUUUCAAACACAAAGAUAACCUAAUUUUAAUCAGAAAAAAAAAGCAUUACCUGAAUUAGUGACUGGAGUUUCUCUUGAAGACUUUGUUUCUUCUCAUUAGCUUCCUUAAGGGCAGAAGUUAAACUCCACAAUCUAGCUAGCUCGUUGUCGAAAUCUUCCCAUUCAAUUAGUUGCACAUUUUCAUGUGCAGCAUUGAUUUUCUUCGGGUCGGUAAUUAGGGUUUUGUCUCGGGCUUGUUCUCGAUUUUCCAUGAAAUAAUUGAAGAGGAAAGCUUUCGAUUCUGUAAGUUUAAAAAGGGAUCAUAGAUCGACCUCAUGGUACUGGAUCUCGCCCGGUUAGAGUGUUCUUUUUCACGCCGAUCGAAUCAUUUUCUCGGGAAACUUUGCUAGCUAGGGGUAAUUUUCUCGGGAAAAUGGAGGGAAAAACAGUUUCGGGAGUUUUUAUUUGGGGGAGUCUAAGGUAUAACGGAGAAUGACAGGUGGCGGUUAACGGAGGAAUCUCACGAUUCAUGUCAUUUUCACUUUUCCGAUUUAGAAAUUGCUUAAAUACUUUUAAAAAUAGAUAAUAAGAUAAACUUUCUUUUUGAAUAAGAUAAACUUUCAUUGAAAAUAAAUAAAUAAAGCUAAUAGAAUUUUACACAUUUAUCUUGUGUUUUAAAUUUAAUAAAUUAAAAAAUAUUUGAUGAUUUUUAAGUUGGUAAUUUUUUUUUAUAAAAAUUUGGUAACUUCUUUGAAAGUUGAUAUAAAAUGUAUCACGACCCGACUUGAGAUUUAAUUUGUCCUCGUCAGAAGUCCGACCCAAACAAGGGAAUAUGACUUGCCACUCACCAAUUUUUUAACCUUCCAACUUGCCAGCUUUAUGGAGUAACUCGGCACCUUGCGACACUACCUCACAUACCGUGAGAUUUCAGUACAAAUAUCUCUAAGGGUAUGUAUCAAGCUUAAGAGAAAUAACAUAUUAUUAUACAUAUUAUUUAGUUACCCCUAACAUGUCACGUCAAAAAAUCAUACUAUAAAAAAUAGUCCUCACAAGAGAGGAUAGAAAAAAAAAAAGUCAUCAACAAAAGUAAUUAAGUAACCUUUUUAUAAAACAAAAAGAUUUAUUUUAUUUUGAAGUAAAUUAAUUCUCUAACUUAUAUAAGAAAUUAAGUAAAAUCUUUUUAAAUAAUAAGACAUAAUUUCUCGAAAAAAAAUAAUCAAAUGAGAGCUAAUCAAAAUAAUUUAUUUUUUUAGGCCAAACAAUUUUACUUCAACUAUUUAUAAACACUUUUUAAUCAAUUUUCUUUUAACUCCCAUUAUAAAUUUUAUAAAAAGGAUAAUAUAUUAAAAAUACCCUUAAAUUAUUAGAUUUUGUAUAAAUAAACUCUUAUUUUUUUUAGUUAAAUAAACUCCUAAAUUAUUAAUUUUAGUCAUGAAAAUGUUGAUAUAAAAGUAUGAGAAUAAUUUAUUAAAUAAAAAAUUAAUUAUUUAAAAAUAUUUAAAAUAUUUAUAUACAUAAUAAACUUAAUUAAAUUCUCUAGAAAAAAAAUUUAUAUUCUUUUAAAUUUUAUGUUGAUAUAUUAUUUCUAUUUGUCUAAUAAAGUGCAUAACGAGGCAAUAACUAUUUUUAUGUAUAAAUUAAACAAUACUACAACUUCCGAAGUUAAUAAGAUUAUAUCUAUACUCACCAUCACAAUUAGAGACAGGGGUGAGUAUUCGAUCGAAUUAAGUUAAAAAAUUUUGAAUUAGUCGAGUUAACAAAUCUUAUUUUAGCAAUCGAAAUCAAUUUAAUUUUUUUUAAAUCAAAUCGAAUCGAGUCAAAAAAUUUCAAGUCGAAUUAACGAAUCCUAUUAUUUAUACUCAAUAUUGCGUUUAUAUGGGCUGAUUAUUUAACUGGUAGACGAAGUACAAGAUUAUUUAACUAUAUAAACAAUAUAAUGGUUUUGCAUUGUAACUUAAUAGGUAAACAAUAUUUUUAUCAUAUAUUAGUCAAAGUUGAUUGCAUCAACAAUAAGUUAAGAUAAAAACCUCAAAUUUUUAAAUAUUUUUACCUCAAUAUAAAAUUUAAGAGCUUUCAUGUAUAAAAACUAAAGGUUAGAGCUUUCAUGUUUAAGGGCUUAUUUAUACUUCAUCUUUAUAAAAAAAACACUUAAAUAAAAGUUUAAAUUAUAUAGUUAAUCACUCAAUUUUAGUAAAUUUUCAUUUUAGUCACUCGUUGUUAAUUUGGCUAAUGUAAAUAUUACAUUACACUCAUUUUAGUCACCUAAUUUUUAUAAGAUAGAAUUAAUUUUAUUUUUCGGUAAAAAAAAAAAAAAAACUCAAAAUUUUACAAGCAAGUACCUAGGUUUUUAUAGAAAAAACUUGGAGUUUUAUAUGAAAAACCUACGUUUUUAUUGGAAUAGUCAUAUUAUCUUUUUUUAUUUCAUUUAUAAAAUUAAUUUUAGCUUUUUCAAUGAAAAGAAAACCUAAUUUUUUACAAGAAAAUCAUUUUAUCUUUUUAAUUUCUUUUACUUUCAUAUUUAGAAUUAAUUUUAAUUUUUUUUCCAAUAACAAUGAAAAAAAACUUGGAUUUUUACAAUGAGUUUGUUGGGUUUCCACGGAGAAUUGCUAGAGUUUUAUGAAUAACUCAAUUCCUUAAAAAAUUCUAAAAAAAUUAGAAAAAUAAGAUUAAUUAAAAAAAUGGAGCAAAAUGAAAAUUUACUAAAAGUAGAUGGCUAAAAUGAAUAUACAAUUGCAUUUUCGUUAGCCAAAUUAACAUGUGAUCAAAAUGAAAUAUUAUUAAAAUGAAAAAACUAUUUAAAGAAAGUGAUUUAUUUACACCCUGAUUUUAUGAGCAAAUUCCCCAGCACAAAGCCUAUUUUGACAAUAACAGUUCAAAUGAAAAGUCUUCGCUUACUCUUUGAACGAAACUCUUCUCCCGCUAAAACCACCUCUUCUUCCUCCAAAUUCAAACGCCCAAAGCUUUCUUCCAUCUCUAAUGGGUUUUAUGGACAAGCUAUCCGAUGCUUCAAAAAGAUGAUGUUUUCAGGUGUGGACUUAGUAGUUUUCAUUGAGCUCAACCCUUUAUUCUAAUCUUUCUGAAUAAACUCAAGUUUGUCGUAUUUGCAGGAAUAAAACCCGAUGCGGUGGUCUUUCUUGCCCUCCUGACUGCAUGCUCACAUUCUGGACAAGUAGAUCUUGGGCUUAACUUCUUUGACAGCAUGAGGUUUGAUUACUCCAUUGAGCCAACCAUGAAGCAUUAUACGUUGGUCGUUGAUUUGUUAGGCAGGGCAGGCCGACUGGAUGAAGCAAUGAAGUUCAUACAAAGGAUGCCUAUAAGUCCUGAUUUUGUGGCAUGGGGAGCACUUUUUUGUGCUUGCAGAGCUCACAAAAAUAUUAAAAUGGCAGAACUAGUGUCAGAAAAGCUCCUUCAGCUUGAACCUAAACAUCCUGGGAGCUAUGUUUUCUUGUCAAAUGUUUAUGCAGCAGUUGGUAGAUGGGAAGAUGUGGAGAGGGUAAGAAUGUUGAUGCAGAAUCAAGCUGUUGGCAAAGAUCCGGGGUGGAGUUAUAUUGAAGUCAAUGGACAAGUGCAUAGUUUUGUAGCUGGUGAUCAUGAUCAUAAGCGUGCAAGAGAAAUAUACUUGAAAUUAGAGGAAAUAGUGUCUGGUGCAAGAGAGCAAGGAUAUAUGCCUGAAACUGGGUGGGUUCUUCAUAAUAUUGAGGAAGAAGAGAAGGAAGAUGCAUUAGGAAGUCACAGUGAGAAAUUGGCGCUUGCCUUUGCCUUAAUGAACACUCCUCCGGGGACAACUAUCAGGAUAGUGAAGAACUUAAGAGUAUGUGGAGAUUGCCAUUCUUUGAUGAAAUGUGCUAGUAAGAUGAGCCAAAGAGAAAUCAUAUUGAGAGAUAUAAAGAGAUUCCACCAUUUCAAGUAUGGGGUCUGCUCAUGUGGAGAUUAUUGGUAAAAUGGUAAGUAACAGCAACAUUAAUUUGCUUUGCUGUUAAUAGCACAUGAUUAGUGCUUCUACUUGGUUUAUUUAGAAUAAUGCUUUUAGUUAAAACAUGGAUGUAGCUACAGCAACACAAGUUUUUUUGUUUGAUAAUUGGUAGCAAGUACAUUAAAUUUCUCCAAUGGACCUUUCUGCACAUAUAUAUUAAACUUGAAACUCAUUAGUUAAGUUUGUACUUUAUUUAGGUAUCUAAUUAACGUUGUUAGAUUUUUUCAAUUUCAACUUAUCAUCUUGUGCCACUUCUUUCUCUUCCCUUUAGUGAAAUUUAGCACUUUAAAAGAUGGGUUGCAUUUUGCUCCCUCUGUCAAAAAAAAUGGACAGAUUAAGCUAUACACGUUAGAUCAAAGAGCAAAUAGGUCUUUUUGUUUAAAAAUCCAUCAAUUUUUGUUGUUAAAAAUCAAUCCAUUUACAUCAACAUAAAAUAUAUAACUGUUUGGGUAUCUCAUCAUCCAUGUUAGUUUUUAGCAAUACAAAUGGAUAGAAUUUUUAACAAAAAAAACCAGUUUAUUGUUUGAUCUAACAUACAAUGACUAAUUUGUCAAUUUUUUAAGUAAAUAAAGCAUAAUGCUAAUUGACUCUUAGUAUAAUAUCUCUAUGGUACUUUUAUCAAUACUAUCUCUAUUUAUGAAAUUAAAAAUACUUAAAUAAUUAGAUUUAUUGUUAUGUGUAUGUAAUAGCUAUUUGAAUUAAAUUAAAUUGACAAAUCAACGUACACUAGUGCAUACUAAAAAAAAUGUAAUAUAAAAUUAAACCAAAAUUGAAUCUCCUCAAACAUAUGGCAACUCUUCACUCCUCUUUCCCUCUGAAGUUAUUUUAAUUUAAAAUAUAUUUUGUAUAAUGUGUUAUAACAAUUCAACUAAACAAAGUGAUUCUCUUUGCAUAACAUAUUAUAUGCUUAUAUAAACUUUUACAUAAUUUGUUAUAGAUACAUUUUUAAUAAUUGAAUGAUGACUCCAUUAAAAAUGCAAUAUCAUAAUAAUUCUACAUUUCUUGCAUUAAUAUAAAAUUUUCCUUUUUUUUUCCUCCAAGCCUUGUUUAUUAUCUUGCCAACUUUCAGGCUAGCUAUCGCCCGCCUUUUUUUCCCUCCCAUCAAUCCUUUUUUUCUUUUUUCUUCUCAUUCACUCCACAUGUCUUCUUUCUUUUCAGUUUGUAAAUCUAUUUUAUGAGUAUCUUUAUUUUCUUCACAAGUUGUGAUAGACAGAUGACGACGCCUAUGUUCGUUAAAACUUCAUCGGCCACCAAUAAUUUUUCAGAAUAAUAAAUAAUUUCAUGAGCCGAUUUGGACCCUUGUUAUCAUAAGUUUUAUAUAUUUUUUAGUUUGUUUUUUCAUUGUUUAAUAGGUUUUUAGUUUUAGAAGUUUUUGUCUACUCUUGUAACACGUUUUUUAGUCUUGCUUAUGCAUGUAACCUUAGUUUUACAAGUGAUUUUAGAGAUGGUUUUGUUACCGUCUUCUCUAGUUUGGUGAAUGCUCAAUUCUUUUGUCCAUUUUUGCUCGUCACUUCCAUUCGGGGCUGAUUUUCCUUAUCGCAUUAAGUGCUUGCGAUCACUCCAAAUAUAUCGUGCUUAAGUUGUGAUAAAGCUUGUACAAGCCCAAUUUUUAUGCCCGGGCCCAAUUGACCCAACAAAACCGAACGGCCCAACAGACUAAGGCCCAAACCCAACAAAGACUAGGGUUUCAGAACCCUAGCCCCUCCAUCAGCGCCGCAUGCUAGGGUCUCUGACUUCUGCCCCGUCGGCGCAAACGGCGCACCUACCCCGUCCGUGUCACGUCUCCUCCAUCGCCCUACACCUGCAAACAAUAAAGAGAAGCAGACAACACAAAACAGGGGAAAGAUUGAAUCUUUUUUUUUUGUUCUUUCGGCUAUAAAGCCGAACGUAUCAAAUAAGAAAAAGGGGGGAUUUUUUGUAAAAAAAGAAAACCACAUCAGAAAUAAGAAAAGGAACAAAGGUUGCUGUGUUCUUCAUUUUAUUCUUUUUUGAUUCGUUUACUUUCAUUUAUUUUCAAACAAAUCCGUUAAAAAAUAUAUCAAUAAAAAGGAAAAGAAAAAAAGGAGCGCACCUGAAUCGCUCUCUGGCUCCGUCGACGGAGGUUCUCUCGCCGUCGUCGGCCCGGAUCUGAAGGAGGGAUUCUGAGCCCUUGUCUCGGCGCUCGUAGGGGUUCAAGGACCCGAUUUUCAAAUCGCCAGAAGGCCAGGCUUUUUAAAAACCCUUUGUUGCGCUUCGUUGGCCGCCGUUUCGGUGGCGGUGCGACGGACAGACGGACGGUGGUGAAAAGCCAAUCGUCGGAGGGCAUGAAGAGAGAGUGGGGGAAAGUGUUCUGAAUUUUUUUUUUUUAAAAGAGUUUUUUAGGGGUUUUGAUUUAUAUAAGGAUCCAAAACGGCGCCGUUUUGGAAGGGUCAGAAAGCCCCUAAAACGACGCCGUUUUUGCAUAAGACCCGAGACCCAACCCGUCUGACGGAAGGGAUAAUUCGCGUUUAGCCCUUCUGCUUUUUAAUUAUUUUAAAAUUAGGUUCUUUUAAUCUUUUGAAAUUUACCCGAAAAUUUUUUUCGUUUUCAAUUUGAUCCUUACCCAAACUACGUCGUUUUAAAGGAAGGGCCAUUUGCUUGGCUGGUCCCUCCAUGUUUUAUGGUUGUUCAGAGCAGUCCUUCCCUUUUCGUUUAUUUGCGUUUUGAACCCCCCGAAUUUUGUUUUAAUGUUUAAUCUAAUCCUUCUGCUAUUUUGUUUAUUUUCUUAAGAAAUUUAUUAUUAUUAUUAUUAUUAUUAUUAUUAUUACCAUCGAAUUUUAGAUUUAAUCAUAUAUAUAAAUAUACGUCCAUGAUAUAUACCUACUUUUUAUAUAUACUUUAUAAUUUAUAUAUACAUAUACACAUUUUAAUUUAUGUACAUAUCUACACAUAUUUUUCAUACUUUACUCAUAUAUAUAUACAUGUACUUAUACAUAUUCUUUAUAUCUUAAAAUCCAUAUUUUUCUUAUGUAUAUAUUUUAUAUUUUAUAUAUAUGUGUUUAUAUAUUCUACAAUAUAUAUUUAUAUGCAUAAUAAAUACAUAUCUAUAUACGUUUCGAUUUUUAUAAACACAUAUAUAUAUGUAUGCAUACCUUUAUAUUUCUUAUAUUAAAUACAUAUAUAUAUUUAUAUAUCCCUUUAUACUUCUAAAAUACAUAUAUUUUGUAUAUAUUCUUUAUAUUUUAUGAUUCCUAUAUGUACCCACAUAUAUACUUUUUGUAUUGUAUGAUUGUUAUUUACGUAUAUAUGUACGUACAUAUAUACUUACACCUAUUUUCAUGUAUAAUAGCCUUAUAAUAUGUGUACAUACAUGUAUUUUUCAUAUUUCCAUAUACAUACACAUAUAUCUUUUUAUUUUAUAUAAUCUUACUCAUUUUAUUUAUUUAUUUAUUUAUUUACAUGUCUAUUAUUAUUAUGCUCUAGUUUUUAUUUAUUUAUUUAUUAUUUGUUAUUGUGCUUGCUUGAUCCUUUUAUAUAUUAAUCUUAUUAUUUAUUUUUAUUUUGAUCAUGUCAUUUUACUUACAUUAUCAUCAUCAUUCCAUUACACUCAUUUUUUUGUUUAGAUUUCAAAAAAAAAGAAGAAAUUUUAAAAAUAAGUAACACUCGGUAUUUUGGAUCUUCGAGAGAAUCGAGUCCUAACGUAUUGGGUUCCGAUUUUCUUCGUUGAAUUUAAAUAAUCGAGAUUACUCUUUUAAAAAUGAUAAAAAAGCUCGUUAUCGAGAAUUCAAUACGUUGUGUCCCAAUGGAUUGGACGUAACACGGUGUUUUCUCGAGACGAGGAUUUUUCGAAAUAAACGUAAUAUUCAAUGUUUAAUCUUUUGAGAAAUUGUGCCCUAACGUAUUGGGUUGUGAUUUCUUCAUUUGAUUUAAACAAUUGAAUAUCCUUUUAAACUUUAUUACAUGGAUCUUUUCAAACUCAAGUUUUAAACAACCUCGGGAAUUAAAAGAGGAUCGUGUCUUAACUUACUGGUCGUAAUCCCUUUUUUAAUUCGAGAUCGUUAAAUAUCUUUUAAAUAAGCUUUUUUCAUUCGUGUAUUGGGAAUUCGACAUAUUGUGUCUUAACUUGCUAGAUAUGAUAUUCUGUCUCGAAUAACGUGAAAUAUGCCCCUUUUCCUGAAAAAUUUCAACGUUUUAAUACAAGGAUCGUAUUUUUAAAAUUCUUCUAAGUUCUCAAUUUUCGACACUAAGACAUUAACUAAUCAACUAGGUACCAAUUUUGGGCGUAUCGAGGGUGCUAAUCCUUCCUCGUGCGUAACCGACUCCCGAACCCGUUUUUCUGAAUUUCGUAGACCAGACUUGUUGUUUUAAUAAAAUUAAAUUGUUUAUUAAAAACAACCACUUUUCGAGGUGAUCCAAUCACCCCUCAUAAAAAAGGAUUGGUGGCGACUCCCGUUUUUUUAUUUUCGUCAAAACCCAAGUCGACCCCGUUUUUUAUCCAAAAAAAUGGUGUCAACAAAGCCAAUUGUCAACAUGUCAUGACGUUCUAUUUAUGCUAAGGCUAAAGCCUUCGUUGGGUUGUUGGAGCUUGUCAUUUACCAUCUACGACGAGUGCUUAUUUUUUUCCCUGAAUUGUAUGAUUCCAUUCAUUGAAUGAAUUAACGAAUUUACCUUUCAAAAGAAAAAAAAAUUCAUAAAUUUUGAAAUACAAAAUGAAUGUGUUUUGAUAUUUUUAGGGCAAUGGUUUAGUGGUUUAAAUUUUUUUAUUUAAUAUGGUGAAUUUAAUUAUAAUUUUUUAUUUAUUAGAUAGUAGAAUAUCUCUUACCAUUUAUAAGUAAGUACAAUUAAGUUUAGGUUAAAAUAUUUUAUUAAAUUUUUGGACUUUUCACAAAUUUUAAAUUUAAUCUGUUUACUUUUAUUCAAGAAUUUAAUCUCUCUGCAUAUAAAGGAGGUAAUUAUGGCAAGGGGAAUUACCAUGGCAGAGGUAGCGGAGGCUGAGGAAGAGAUGCUGGAUAUGCUGAAGAAAGAUAGAUGGCUGAGAAACAGAAAAACUUUAGGAACAAAAUUCAGUGUUAGAAGUAUGGGGAUGUGAAGGCAGAUUGUUGGAAAAGGGGAAAACAAGCAAAUUAUGCGGAAGAUGAUGAAGAGAUUUAAGUUAUUUAUGAGCUGUCUAGAUGACACCAUAGCUUCAACUAACAUUUGGCUUCAAGGGCGUAUAUCUCAUGAUGAAGAGAUUGUCUCUCUUCUUUUUUCUCAUAACAUAUUAUACGCCAUGAUAAUAAAUUUUGAUAUGCCUAUAAAUUUGAGUCUCUAUUAUUUGUAAUAUGACAUGUUUUAAUUAUUUUUUAUAUUAUGCCAUGAUUUGGUUCACUCCAUAAGUUAUAUAAAUUUAUUAUAAUAAUUCAAUUAAUUUAAUUUAGAUUAAUUUUACAUUUUUGUCCUAACUUUAGUUUUUAAUAAUUGAAUCAUCCCACCAUUAUAUUCAAUUACAAGUGUAAUACGAUUUUGCGUCAUCCCGCACCAUUAUUCUCAGUGUAAUUUUUGGUAGUGAGCAUUGAAGGGGAGAGAGAGAGAGAACAAAGAAAGAACUUACUGUAAUUUUUGGUGUAUGUAAUCGAUAACCCUCAAUGCUUAAAAUGAAAAAGAAAAUAGAAAACAAACGUGGCAAAGUUAGUUACAAUGCCAGCUAAUUCGUUAUUGCUAUCCACAUGAAGAAUUUUAUAACCCCAACUACACGAUUCUAUGUCUACCAGCUCUCACUUUUCAUAUUUUUUGGCCAUUAGUUAUUCUAAGAUUUAACAUCACCGUUAAGCCAUGUUUAAACUCUUUUUUUUAUAUAAUAAUUAUAUUAUAUUUAAAAUUGAAAAAACUAACCAACCAAAUAUAUAUUAAUUAAUUAAUAGAAGUUUUUUGGUCAUCGAUUAAAAUAAAUCAAGAAAGACGUUGGAACCACCAACUUCUCUUUAAGAACAACACGAAUACAAGAAUCUAUGCACAACAAGUUCUAAAAUGUAUUAAGUAAAUUCAUCAUCAUGCCUUAAAAAAAGAAGAUCUCGAUAUAUCUGCUUUUGCCAAAGCAUCCGCCAUACCAUUACUUUGCCAGUGAAUAAUUGUGAAUUGAAACUUAGCCAAUUGAGUGAUAUUAAUUAUAGAAAUGAUUCUUCUUGCAACCAUAGAUGAAACACCACUGAGACUAACAAACUUGGAGAAACUUGAUUUGAGUUUUAACAUCUUCAGGAACAACACAAUUUCGUUUCUUGAAGGACUUUCAAACUUAAAUUAGUCCUUGGAUAUGCAUAAUAACACUCUGCAAGGCUCAUUAAUAGAUAUUAAAGGUACUGAAGCCAUAACUUUUUUUUCUUGAUAAUUCUUUUUAAAAUAUUUCAUAAUUAAUUGUUCUGAAUUUGUACAUUCACUUCUCACAUUUCUGGGUUUUUUUUGUCCUCAACUAAAUUAAACUUAUGCAAAUUUCUUGAAUAUUUAAGUUAAGAGUUAACGUCAAAGUCAAGAGUUGAUAAGUAUUUUGUGGUCCAUUCAUAUCUUUAUUACAAAAAAAAAAAAAUAUUCAAGAAAUUUGCAGCUAGUUGGAGUUUUGCAAUAAGGAAUUUCCACCAAGAGUUUUGGAGGAAUCAUAUCUCUAACAAAAAAAAAAAAGACCUUCAUUUGACUAAAUUUUUUAGUAUUUAUUUUAACUUCCAUUUUUAUUAAAAAAAAGGUAAAAAAUAUGCCAAACAGGGUCUUUAGGUUACUUUUUUUAGAACUAUAUUAUGUUAUAGUACCAUAUAAGUUAGAGGAGCACAAGUUUAGAUUCAUCCAAUUUUUGAGGAAUUAAUUAAAUAUAUAUUAUUUUAAUAUUAUAGUGUAUAGGGGCAAAGUUAGAAAAAAAUUUUGUGGAGUCGAAAUUAAAUUAUAGUUUUUACAAUAGUUAAAAAAAACAAUUUCACUAUUUUAAAAGCAUAUAUGUUUAUAAUUUUUAAAGAAUUAAAUUAAAUUUUUAUCAAUUUUAGGGGGUCAAUGUGCAAUUUUAUCUUUACUAAUUUCAGUUUUUGAAUUGGAUGAGGAUAUGUAUAGGAUUGAGCAAUUUAACAAAUUUGAAGAAACUCGAUUUAAGUUGGAAUGAAAUUGAAAGCUUUCAAUCCUUAAAUGGUAUGCAUUUAUAUUUAACCAAUUACCUAAAUUCUUAUAUAUAAUAAAAGUUUAUGCCAAUUCAUGUUAGUGAUGAAAUUAUAUAAAUCUUUUAUUGAUGGUGGUCGAAAAUUAGAGUUGACCCACUUGGAAGAGCUUUAUUUAGAUGGAAAUCAGUUCAAUACUAGUGUAUUUGCAUCCCUUAAGAAGCUUUCAAAUUUGAAAUCUUUGAGCAUAUGGGGCAAUGGAUUGAAAGGUAAAAAUAUUAGAUUUUUAACAAGAAUAUAAUAAUGUUGGAAGAGAAUAUAAUGAAGUUGAUUUUGUUGUUUUUGUUUUCCUAGAUUUGGAAACAUUUAUCAACUUAAGGGAACUAGAUAUGAGGGGUAAUGAAUCCACCAAUGUAUCAUUUAAUUAAACUUUCAUUUUUGUUCAAAAUUUAGAAAUUUAGUUUCAAUUCUUAGUAAAGGUUAUUGUGAUAGAUACUAAAAAAAAAUUAUAUCAUUUCAUACUUGAAACAAAUGGGUGGAAAAACAGAAUUCAGUUUUUAAAAAAAAAAUUUAAGAAAUAAGGGUUUGGUGAAAAGAUCUUCUAAAUCCUUAUAGUUUUCUUGGUUUUCUUUCGUCGGGAAAUGCAUCACCACCUGUCGUUUCUCAAUUGGAGGCAGCUGUCUUGCGUAUUACAUCUUCAAGCGAUGUGUUUAACUAUCAUGAAGAUUUAUGCAAAGUUUGUUCAUGUUGUCUUGGGAAAAAAUUCUGCUAUGAUCUUUUAUAUCAGGUGAUCACCUGAUUGUUUUUGGUGCUAAGUCGGAUUUUGUUUAUUUUAUAUUUUGAUUAAAGCUUUUAUCUUUGUGUGAAGGAAGCUUAUAACCUUUGUCUUGUCGGUUUUAUUGUUGUAGACAUAUAGUCAAUUAUAUUCACUCUUCCAUCCAUCUCCAAGUUAUUUGGUAUUAAAUAUCUUUUUUAAAUUAUAUUCUGCUUUAUUAAAUAAAAUUCCAAAUAAAAACCAAGUUUAUAUCUUUUUCAAACACUUCUCUCUAUGCAUUUAUGACAUGUUUUUCGAUAUAAAAGUUAUAUACACAAGCAGAUAUUCCUACUCUUUAGAUUUGCUAGGCACCCAUGCAUACAUAUGUAGAAGUAUUUGCUUUGGGAUGUAAUGUGGUGAGACUAUCAUCACAGUUUUUCUUAAGACAAAUGUGAAAGAAAUAGAUUAUUAGAUCCAACAGUAAACAAAGGGGAUCAAACUUAAGUUAAUCCUACUCUUCAUUUUUAUAUCUAAUCAUUUACGAACAUGGUUUUUAGUCAAGGGGGGUUGGGUUUGAGUGGUCGACCCAUUUUUUAGGUGUAAGAUGAGUUUAUCAUUUUCAAAUUUGUUGAUAAUCCUUCAUUUAAUCUGCAGUGGAGUUGAUAGAUAGUCUUAAGAUACUGCCCCAAGAAACUAGAUAUAGUAAAUGUUGGUGUUGGCUUUGGGAUUAAAAGGCUGCCGCCUCAACCUUGCUAUAAAAGCAGCCCAAAUUUGAUCUCCCACUUUAUUUGUAGACAACUAUUUACUUUGGAGAAGUCUUUUAAUUGAGGGUUUCGUUAAUUUGUAAAUCUUAUCAUACGGUGUGGAUGUUGGAGAAUGUAGGCAUUUUGUUAAACCUCUUAAAUUUAGUGUGUGUUUUCCUUUAUUAUUUUAUUUGUAUUUAUUGGUUUUUCUGUUACGUUUUAAUAUUCAAUUAUGAUUUGGUGGGUUAAUCCGUUGUGUUGAGUAGUUUCAAUUUACUUUUGGUGUUCAUUAUUGAAGUUACAUUAACAUUAUUAAUUCUCAAUUUAGCAUCAUAAUUUUAAUAACCACAUAAUUUUAAUUUUUAAAUGUUAGAGAAUUAAUAAUGUUAGUUAUUUUAAUGAAUCCAUAACAUUAAUAUCAAUAAAAGGAAUAAAAUAUAUCAAAUUAAAUAAUAAAAACUAAAAUUUUAAUUCAAUUGAGCAAGUCUAGGGAUUAAAAUUAUAAAUUGACGUAUAAUAAUUUCUCAGGCAUUAAUUGUGAGAUUAUUUCCAUGAGGGGGGCCUAGAUAAGCUCAAGGUUGAUGCAGAAAUCAAUAGUCAACAUUUGAAAGUUAAUACAAUGAAUUAUGUGACUGUUGAUAUAUGUAAUGAUAUUUUCUUAACAAUUUCCUCCAACUACUUCGUAGAUGCAUGGUGUUAUAUCACAUCACAAUGGGUGACCAAAUGCAUAUAAUUGAGAUUGAGAGUUUGGACCUUUCUUACAAUAGCUUGAGUGGUGAAAAUAAUUAUUUAUAAAUUUUAUACUUCAAAAACUAAUGAAAUAUUCAAAUUAAGAAUAGUGAAUUAUUAUGAUAAUGGAUAGUUUUAAAGUAGUGGUCUAGUAGAAAUUUUAAAUUUAAAUAUAGUUGAUAUAAUUAAAUUAUAAAAAAAACAUUAAUUAUUAAAUUGCAUUUAAUUACAUUAGUUGUUGUGAUUACCUAUUUCUCCAAAACGAAAAGCAUAAUCAUAAUAAUUUUUAAAGCUAUCAAAAUUCAGAUUCCCAAACCUCAUGUGAUUGCCAUAGAAAACCUUUUUUCACAAAACUACAUUUUUCUACACGGUAGGAACUUUCCUGGUAAAACAAGACAUACUUUUCUACACAUUUAAUCAAAUUAUGUCAAUAUCAGUUGGCCAUCAAAAUUCAGAUUCCCAAACCCCAUGUGAUUGCCACAAAUAAACUACAUUUUUCUACACGAUAAGAACUUUCCUCGUAAACCAAGUUGGAACCUUUUAAUAGUUUAUAAAAAAACCUUUAAAAAAUAUUUUAGGGAUGUUAUUUUUAAAAUAUUUUUUCAUAACACUUUAAUUAUAUAAAAACUAAAAUUAGAAAUUGACUAGUAAUAAUUCUCAAGGUUAAGGUUGACACAGUAUGUUGAAUUUAUGUUUAAAUUUUGGGUUAUUUUUCUCAAUUAUAGAUUAAUUAAUAUUUUGUACAUUGUGAACUCCACGAACAAGAUUUAAUACAUGACACGUAUUUGAUUUAAUUUAAUUUAAUUUUUAUUUUAUAAAACUUUCAUUAUUAUUCAUUAUCAUUUACCGUAUAUAUAUUCCACUCCUUCUUACUAUAUCUCAACGGAGAAAGUGAAGGUUAUUCAAGGAAAUGGUAAUGUGUGUGUGUUUUUUUUUUUUAUGAAAUGGAUCCAGUUACUAGAUUUUAAUUUUAAUCUUCACUAAACAACAUUUGUUAGAUUUAUUAAGGUUUAUUAUUUCCAAAAUUUGGUGUAGAAAACAUAUUAUUAUAUGUAUAGAAGACCCUUUUUUCCAUAAAACUAAAAUUUCCCUCACAAUAAAAUACAAAACUCGUUCUCGUAAAUAUUUUGAAAAAUAAAAAAAUUUAAUAUUAUUAUUAAUUAACGAAUUACCAAUUUAAUAUAAAUAUAAAACUGUACUUUUAAGUUUAUAAAAUUUAUUAUUUAUCUUUGAUUCUGAAGAUAGAGAAAUUAGGGCCAUAACGACGACUUGGAUUAUGAUUGCACAUUUUCCAAGUCUCAUUUUUGUUAAUUAGGAAAACUGAUGGGCAUCUCCACUAAAUUUAUGUUGAAAAAUUUGGAGUUGUUGCGACAUAGGCACAAUAAACAUCUUUUAACAUUUAUAUGUUUGAGAAUUUAUCGAAUUGUAUCUUUGGGCUAAGUUGAUAUCGUUGGUUUUAUCAAGUCCAUCAAUGAAUAUUAUAGUACUUGGAGAAACUUAUUUGAAGGACCGAGUCAAAUUGGAUUGGAUCAAGUCUAUCUAAUUUCUUAAAUUGAGGAAGUUGGAACAGAUUGAAACAUUAGUACCUUAUUUGCCAAUGGCUCAUAUUACCUUAGUUGUUAUUAUUAUAUUGUAUUCUACUAUUUUAGUUGCCUUUUAGAAGGGAUUGUGAAUGAUCUUCAUUAGGUUAGCAAGUCUUAAAAUAUUUAUAUAAUUAAGAGACUUGUAUAGGUUAUUGUAUUGAUCAUUAUUUAUGUGAGUGUAUUUGAUUGUAAAACUUUUAUGUUGUGGUUUUGCAGGCAAAAUUCUUAAAGGGAGAAUUUAGUGAUGAGAGACUAGUCACCAAACUACAAGAGUGAAGAUUCUAAAUCAGGAUGUGUUAGAAUUAACUUCAUUGGUUAAUGUUGAUUUUUUUUUUAAAAAAGUUUCCAUGUCAUUAUGGUGAGAUGAAUUAUUUCAAACAAUAAAUUAAUGGAAAAUAACUCUUUUAAUAACCACAUAACUUUAAUUUUUAAAUGUGAGAGAAUUUAUGAUUUCUAGUUUCUAUUUUUUUUUAAAUCCACAUGAGCCAACUAAUGAAAUUUUUAAUAAUGUUAGUUAUUUUAACAAAUCCAUAACAUUAACAUCGAUAAGAGGAAAAAAUAUAUUAAAUUUGAACGUUAUGAAUUUACGAACUAAAAUUUAAAUAAUUUUCUUCUCCGACUUCCGACAUUGACUGUCAAAUCAACUUGGAUAAGGGUAGGAUCCAAGAGGGGCUGGCAAGGGCUGCGGCUCCCCUAAAAUGAAAAAUUUUCUAUUUAAGCCCUUUAUAAUUUAUAAAAUUUUAAAUUAGUAACAGUAGAUUUGCACUUUGGCUCCCCAAAAUAAUAAAAAAUUGAUUUAGUUCUCAAAAAAUUAUAAAGAUAUAAGCUAUUAAAAUGAUAAAAUUUCAUUUCUACUAUCGUAAAAAUAUACAAUUUAAUUCUAGCCCCCCCCCCCAAAAAAAAUUUCCUAGCUUUGUCCCUAACUUGGAUUUAAGGUAUGUUCUUUUACUCAUCGAUGGGUACUAAUUCACCGUACCGGUCGUCAAAUCAUCGUUUGAAACUCGCUAGUUAGACCUUAUUUUUCAAAAAAGAAAAACUUAACAGUCUAGUGACUUAAAUAAAAACUCUUGAAUAGUUUAGUGUCUUAAAUGAAAAUUUUUGAAUAGUUCAAUGAUCAUUUUAUAACUUUUUUGUAGUUGAAUGACCAAAUAAACUUACUAAAAAUUUAAUGACCUUGAACGUAAUUUACCCUAAUAAUUAAUAGGGUGGAAAAGAAUUUUACAACCCAAACUACAUGAUUUUAUGUCCAACUCAUACUCUUGGUUAAAAAGUCAACUAGAAAAUGACAGCACGGAAAACCAAGGAAAACCAAACACUAACUGGAGUGUUCAUCAAGUUUUAUAAUCUUAAUUAAAUUUAUUAAUAAUAUAUUUAAAAAUAUUUUUAUAUCAAUAUUUAAAAUUAAAUUAUCAAAAUAAUUAGGUGCAAUAGUAAUGAAUAUUGCAUUCUCAAGGGGAGAUGCAUGUUCGAACAUCAGAAAUGACAUUAUUAAGAAUGACAGUCACGAACUCCGAACAUGAAUUGUAAAUCAUAUUUAAAGAAUAUAAAUAUUAUGGUGGAAUCAGUUGCACUAUUAAGAGUUCUUGAUAACAUUAGUUAUAAAAAAAUACAAAAAUAUAAAUUAAUUUGAAAUUUAAUUUUUAUAUCGAGAAAUGAUAUUGUGAAAUUUUGUUUUUAAAAGCACAAAAAUAUAUAUAUUUUAACAUGGAAAAUAAGUAUAAACAUUUUUAACAUUUUAAUAAGAAUUAAUUAAAGGUGUCAACUAUUUAGACUAACUAAUAAUAUUAUAAAAGUAAGUGAAUUAAAUUAGGUUAAAUUAAAAUAUAAAUACAAAAUCUUAAAUUUAAAUAUAGUUAAUGUAAUUAAAUUAUAAAAAAAAUUAAUUAUUAAAUUACAUUUAAUUAAAUUAGUUGUUGUGAUUACCUAUUUCUCCAAAACGAAGAGCGUAAUUAAUCAUAAUAAAAUUUAAAUUUAGUGAAUCUCGGUUGGCUAUCAAAAUUCAAAUUCCCAAACCCCAUGUGAUUGCCACAAAUUAGUGCAUAGAAGACCUUUUUUCACAAAACUACAUUUUUCUACAGGAUAGGAACUUUCCUAGUAAAAGAAGACGUACUUAAUAAUAUAUUUUUAUGAGAGUGUUUAUACCUUUUAAUAGUUUAUAUAAAACCUUUAAAAAGUUGUACAUAUGUUUAUAGUAAUGAACAAAUGUUUAAAGUUUAGGUUAUUUUUCUCCAUUAUGGAUUAGUAUUUUGUUCAUUGUGAACUUCACGAAUAAGAUUUAAUACAUUAUAUGUAUAUGAUUUAAUUUAUUUUUAUUUUAUAAAACUUCCAUUAUUAUUCAUUAUCUGUUUUACUCAUUAAUGGAAUGUGGUGUUAUUAUUCAUUUACCGAAUACAUCAAAUAUUACCUUACAUCUAUUCCACUCCCUCUUACUAUAUCUCAAUGGAGAAAUUGAAGGUCAUUCAAGGAAAUGGUAACGUGUACUAUUCAUUGUUAUUCAUUAUUUGUUAUAUUCUAUGCUAUAUUUGUUAUUUCUAACACCUAGUUUACAUGAUUGAUGCCUUUGAUCAGCUUGGAUUUGCGGUCUUGUCCAGACAUUGCUUUAUGCUGAUUUCUUCUACUAUUACUUCCAGAGGUUUCUCACGCUCUGGAAAGCACUUCAUAGUACCUAUGUGAAUGAUUGCAACUUAUUUGAUUAUUAUGCCUGCAGCUGCAAGAAUAACAUGAAGCUCCAAUUACCAGCUUGAGAUUUUAAUGGUGCAAGUUUUGUAGUAGCAUACAUAGAUAUAAGGUGGUCAAUCUGCUUUGAUAACUGGUGCUUGAUAUUUUAUUUAUUUACCCCUUUGUUAGGGGUGCUUUUAGCAAGCUUUUAAGCAACAUAGCUUGGUUAAGACCCAAAUUCUAUAUGCCUUAAGAGAUUGUAUUGCAUAAUCUGUAUGUGGAUAUCCAAGGAUUGAUAAUCACGUUUGUUUUUAAUCUAUUGCAGAUAGUAAUUGAAAUAUUUAAAUUCGAAUAUUAUCCGAAUUUGUAAGAUUUAAAUUUACAAAGAGCCGAUCAGAUGUGUACAAUCAUUUCAAAUCUAUAGUAGUACAAUCAUUGGCUUAUCACCAGGACCAGCAAUGGCCUUGAAUGGCCAAUGCUUCAUAUUGCUGUGUACCAAAGGGUCAGUGAACCGACGACCAAUCAGAAGUUUAGCAUCGGAAGAGACUUUAAACAUUUUUGUUCAAAAACAUCCAAAGAGAGGAGACUAAGAAAUUUCCUGGACUUCCAACAUUUCCUUGAAUUGAAACCUUAUACCUAUAUUUUAGGCAUCAAAUCUCACAGGUUCAUGUUGAGUUCAAAAUCUACUUCUUUUGAAGUGUAACAGAGGCAUUCUCCAAUUGACUUGAAAGAAUCAUAAAAGCAGACGUAAGUUUUCCACCAAUUAGAACAUUUUGAAAAUUGAUGUCAAGCCCGAAAUGACCGUCACAAGUAAGCAUAUUAAACGUGUGAAGAGAAGACCUUAUUUUUCCACAUAACUAAAACUUUUUACACCAUAGGAACUUUCAUCGUCAUCAAGUUGGACAUAGAUGGAACUCACGUUAAACACACACAUAUAUAAAAUUUACAGCAAAGUUUUUAAGCAAAUAUGGAAUGUAGGUUUUGUUGGUAUAUUUUAUUGUAGGGUGUAAUUGAAUCUAUUCGAACUCAAUACGGUUAAACUCAAGUUUAAUUUGAAAUUCAAAGCUUGAUACUCGAUUGAACAUAUAUUUUUAAGCUCGAAAUUAAAUCUGUUUAUCAAUUUUUGUACUCGAGUUCGAGCUCGCCUCAAUAAUUAAACUUAGGGUUAACAAUAUAUAUUAAAGGCAAUAAUGUAAUCUAAUAAUAUAAAAAUAUGAAAAGUUCAAUAAGGCUCCCAAACUACUCGAGUCAAGUAUUACUAAGCUUGAAUCCGGAUCGACCUAUAGCUCGGCGCAAUAAUUACCGAAUCAAAUUCAAAAUUUUUUGAGCCGAAUUCGAAUAGCUUGCGGGUACGGAUGUCUCAUUUGCACCCCUAUACUUCAUUAGAUAACAAGUGGCAUUUUGAAUUAUUAUAGGUAUAAUAAUUACUUUGUUAAUUACUUUAUUAGUAUCUUAAACAAGAAAGCAUUUAUAUAGCUGCAAUGUAUUAUUUCAAAUAUUUGUGAUUUUAAAAAGUAUUAUUUUACCUACAAGUGUAUGUUUGAACCGUUGAGACGACGUUGUUGAAAGGGGAUAGUCAUAAACCUCGAACAUAGACCAUAACACAAAAAUAAAAAAUAAAAAUAAAUAUUAUGUCCAUGAAUAAAACAAAAAAUGAAGAACUAAAAUUUCCAUUAAUAAAGCGAAAUCAAGACUAACUUUAUAUAAGUGUAAGAAGGGCAUAAAAAAUAUAUUAUGUCCACAUGAAGAAUUUUAUAACCCCAACUACACGAUUUUAUGUCCACCUCUCACUUUUCAUAUUUUUUUGGCCAUUCGUUUUUCAAGAUUGACAUCGACAUUAGAUUUAAAAUCAACGUUAAGCCAUGUUUAAAUUUUUUAAUAGAAUAUCAAGACUGAUUUUUUGUGAGUGAUUAAAAUUUUGUGUAAACUUAAAUGACUUAAAACUUAUCAUUCUUGUCAUCCCAUCUUCUCUCCAUGAAAGAAUUUUAAAAUGAACUUAGCAUUGAACGCCAAAGUCAAGAGUUGAUAAGCAUUUUUGUGGUCCAUUCAUCCUUUCUUAACGAAUUUCCAUCGAGAGUUUUUGCAAUAAGGAAUUUACGUAAAUAAGAAGCCUAGAUUGAUCCAAUUUUUGAGGAAUUAAUUAAUCAUAUAUUAUUUUUAUAUUAUAGUGAAUUAGUGGGAUGCAAUAUCUUCUGCUUGUAUAUAAUUAAACAAGAAGCUUAGGCUUCUUUAGAUUACAUACAUAUAUAGAAGUUAAUCUAUAUUUUCCACAAAACUAAAAUUUUCCACACGACUGAAACUUUCUUGGUCAAACAAGUUGGAUUUGGCUUCACCAAUAACUUAAUAAUCUGUACUAAAAGUUUCGACACAAUAGAAUACGAACUCGUUCUCGUAAAUAUUUUGAAAAAUAAAAAAUUUAAUAUUAUGAGUUAAUGAAUUACUAUAUUAAUUUAAAAAAUUAAAAGAUACAAUUUUUUUAAAGAAUUUAUGAAAUUAUAUAUUAAUAUAAUUGUUGACACCUUUUUUUUUGUGAAAACGGGGUCGACUUGGAUUUUAAAAAAUGAAAACGAAUAUGGAAGUCACCACCAAUCCUUUUUGAUAAGUUGUGAUCGGGCCACCUUGAAAAGUGGUUAUUUUUAAUAAACAAUUUAAUUUUAAUAAAAUAAUAAUUUUGGUCCACGAAAUUCAGAAAAACGGGUUUGGGAGUCGGUUACGUACGAGGAAAGAUUAGCACCCUCGUAACGCCCAAAAUUGGUACCUAGUUGAUUAAUUAAUGUCUUAGUAUCGAAGAUUGAAAACUUUAAAGAGAUUUAAAAUACGAUCCUUUAUUGAAAUGUUGAAAAUUUUCGGGAAAAAGCCAUAAUUCACAUUAAUCGAGAAAGAGAAUUAUAUCCAGUAGGUUAGGACACAAUGUCUUGAAUUCCCGAUGCGCGAAUGAAUGCCAAAAAUUUACUUAUUUAAAAAAUAUUUAGCUAUCUUAGAUUUAAAAAAAAAAGGGGAUCAUGCCCAGUAAGUUAGGACACGAUCUUUUCUUAAUUCCUGAGAUCAUUUAAAACUUGAGAAAAAAAAAGGAUCAUGCCCAAUAAGUUAGGACACGAUCUCUUCUUAAUUCCCGAGAUCAUUUAAAACUUGAUAAUUUUUAAUUCUCAAUUUAGCAUCAUAAUUUUAAUAACCACAUAAUUUUAAUUUUUAAAUGUUAUAGAAUUAAUAAUGUUAGUUAUUUUAAUAAAUCUAUAACAUUAAUAUUAAUAAGAGGAACAAAAUAUAUCAAAUUGAAACUAAAAUUUUAAUUCAAAUGAGUAAGUAUAGGGUUUAAAACUAUAAAUUGAUGUAUAAUAAUUUCUCAAGCAUUAAUUGUGACAUUAUUUCCAUGAGGAGGGGGCCUAUAUAAGCUCAAAGUUGACGUGAAGUCAAUAGUCAACAUUUGAAAGUUAAUGCAAUGAAUUAUGUGACUGUUGGAUAUAUGUAAUGAUAUUUUCUUAACAAUUUCCUCCAACUACUUUGUAGAUGGUGCUAUAUUACGUCACAAUGGGUCACCAAAUGUAUAUAAUUGAGGUUUUUAAGCAAAUAUUAUAGUUUAUCUUUAUCCAUGAAUAGUAUAAUAAUUAGGAUUAAUAUUUGGUACAUUGUUGCUGGAUUUUUUAAAUCUCAUAAGUAGAGUUAGAGGAUUGACACGUAUCCUAUAUAUGUGUAGUAUAUAAUAUUAAAAAAUAUAUAUUUUAAAAAAAUAGACACAUUUUAAUUUUUUAAUGUUGCUUGUGGGAUGCACUUGAAUUGUGGUUCAUAGAAGAAAAUUAUUAUAUAAACUAAGGUUUAAUUCUACCAUAGUUCUUGUACUUUACUGAAGUUGUAGAUUUAAUUUCUAGACUUUAAUUUGAUAUUUUAGAUAUUUAUUAAAUUCAUUAAGUCCUACUAUUUCUAAAUUUGGUGUGGCAAACAUAUUAUCAUAGGUGUAAUAUCACUAAAAUUCAAAAGAAUGAGAAAUUUGUACAUAUUAUCAGAUGUCAAUAUCAAGUUGAACAUUUCAAAAUCUAAAGUAAUAGUUCAAGUAUUUAUUUUUCCAUAAAACCAAAAUUUUCUACAUGAUGGCUUUUUUUUUUUGGCUAUUAGUUAAGAGGAAUUUUUUUUAUAACCCAAUUUAAUUAACUAAUUAAAAAAUGGUUCAAGUAAAACUCAAGUCAUAUUAAAAAUAAUUAUUUAUAAAUUUUAUGUUUCAAAAACUAAUGAAUGUUCAAAGAAUAGUGAAUUAUUAAAGAGAAGUUAUAUGAUAAUGGAUUGUUUUAAAGUAGUGGUCUAGUAGAAAUAAAUAGUUUUUUAUAAAAAAAUAUUAUAUAAAUAAUUAAAUUUUAUAGUUAUUCCUAUUUUUUUAAAAAAUAGUGAAUGUAAUAUUUUUUAAAAUGUUAAAUUAACUCAUGAUAUUAAUUAAAUCAAGAAAUUUUAUAAUAAUAGAGAUGAAAAAAACUAAAUUUUCAAAAUCAAAACCUAAAACGUGCAAGAAUAAAAGCAAUCUGAAGACUUAAAAUUUCCAUUAAUAAAACCAAAAUCAAAGAAGUAAAAUUUCCAUGAAUAAAACCAAAAAUGAAGACCUAAAUUUUCCAUUAAUAAAGCCAAGUCAAGACUAAGUUUGUAUAAGUGUAAGAAGGGUAUAAAUGAAACUCACAAGAAAGCCACAUGAAGAAUUUUAUAACUCCAACUACACGACUUUAUGUCCUCCUCUCACUUUUCAUAUUUUUUUGGCCAUUCAUUUUUCAAGAUUAACAUUAGCAUUCUUGUGGUCCGUUCAUCCUUUCCUAACCAAUUUCCACCAAGAGUUUUUGCAAUAAGGAAUUUACCUAAAUAAGAAACCUAGAUUGAUCCAACUUUUGAGGAAUUAAUUAAUUAUAUAUUAUUUUUAUAUUAUAAUGAAUUAGUGGGAUGCAGUAUGUUCUGCUUGUAUAUAAAUAAGAAGCUUAGGCUUCUUUAGAUUAUAUACAUAUAGAAGUUAACAAAAAGUAACAUAUAGCUGAGAGAGAAGUGAAAAUAGAGAGAUGAUGAUGAUGGAGUGGAAAUGGUUAAGGUUUAUUAGGAUGGCAGUAAUGUUGUUGGUGUUAGAAGGAUGCAGAUGGUGUACUACUGAUGCUUGUUUGGAGCAUGAGAGAAUCGCUCUCUUGCAUCUCAAGCCUUUCUUCAAUUAUCAAAAUCAAUUGCAAAGUUGGGUUGAGGUGAAGGGUUCAGAUUGUUGUAAAUGGGAAAGAGUUGAGUGUAACACCACCACUAGGAGACUCAUACAACUCUCCCUUAAUUCUUCAAGAUGGUUUUACACCACGGAUAAUAGGAAUCUCAAUGCCUGGUAUCUCAAUACCUCUAUGUUUCUUCCCUUUGAGGAAUUGAAGAGUCUUUAUUUGUCGGGGAAUGCCAUAAGUGGUAACCUUGAAAAUGAAGGUCGUGCCUCUAGUUUUUCUUUAAUUACAUCUUUUGUUAUUACACUACUCUCACCAUCGUUAAUUUGCAAUUACUUAUAUUUUAUUUUAUUUUAUGGAAGAAAAGUCACUAACUUGUAUAUAUUUAAAAGAAUAUUUCUAUAGGCUUUGGAAAACUAUCAUCCACAUUGAGUAAUUUGGAGAUCCUUGACUUAAGUGAAAACUACUUGAAUGACAGCAUUUUGUUAUCUUUAAGUGAGCUUUCAUCUCUCCGGUAUUUAAAUUUAUCAAGCAACAAAUUUGAAGGAUCAGGUCAUCUAAGAGGUAAAUUAAGUUUGGUCUAGUGUUAGUUUUUAUUUGUAUAGUGGAGUUUGAGGAUGGUCUUCUAGGCUUGGUACCUAGUUUUCCAUUCUUUUUAUCCGUCGUAAUUCCACUUUUGCUUUAGUAAAAUUUUCAUAUGGCUAAGAAAGAAAAAACAAUUAACAAGUAAAUAUAUAUAUAUCAGGUUUUCAAUUGCUUUCAAGACUCAAUAACUUGGAAACUCUUGAUUUAAGUGGGAAUUCUUUGAAGAAUAGCAUUUUGUUCCAUAUGAGAAAUCUUUCAUCCUUGAUUUAAAAAUCAAUGUAUGUUCAAGUUUGAUUUUAUCAUACGAUGAAUAUAUAUAACUAAUCAAUAUUUGGGAUUGAAUUUCAGGAUUGAAUAAUUUGUCAAACUUGAAAUACUUGGAUUUAAGUUGGAACAGAAUUGAAAGCAUCUCAAACAAAGGUAUAAGUACAGUAUUUAUAUGUCAAUUCAUAUUAAAGGUAGACUGGUUUUAUAUGUUUCUUUUUUACUUUAAAACCAAUUUUUGUUUAAGGGACAGUUAAUGUUGCAAUAUGUCUUUGCUUUUAUCAUAUCAUGAAUAUAUAUAAUUGAUCAAUAUUUGGGAUUGAAUUUCAGGAUUGAAUAAUUUGUCAAACUUGAAAUACUUGGAUUUAAGUUUCAACAACAUUGAAAGCAUCUCAAACCAAGGUAUAAGUAUUUGUGCGUAGUAACUUUCUUGACUGACUAUUAUUCCAAAAGACAAUGACAGACUUCAAAUGUAUUUUCUUUAGUAAAUUUUUAUUGCAAAAAUGGAGUAUUAUUAUUUAUUUAAGUUUUGUAGUAACUAAUUAUAUAAUAUAUAAAUGAGGUUUUCAAUGGCUCAUUAAAUUGGAAAUUAUUGAUAUAAGUUGGAAUUAUUUGAAGAAUAGCAUUCUUUAAAAUAAAUUCAUGUUGAAGGAAAAGUUGUUGCAAUAAGUCAUUUGAUUUUAUCAUAUCAUGAAUAUAUAUAAGUAACUAAUUCUAUAGUAUAUAAAUCAGGUUUUCAGUGGCUUUCAAGGCUCACUAAAUUGGAAACUCUUCGUCUAAGUGGGAAUUCUUUGAAGAAUAGCAUUUUGUUACAUAUGAGAAAUCUUUCAUCUUUGAAGACUUUAAGUUUGAGUUACAAUCAGUUGGGAGGAAAACUGCUUCAUAUUCAAGGUAGACUGAUUUUACACUUUUCUUGUUAACUUUAAAAUAAAUUUAUAUUCAAGGAAAAGUGGUUGCAGUAUGUGAUUUGAUUUUAUCAUAUCAUGAAUAUAACUGAUCAGUAUUUGAGAUUGAAUUUCAGAAUUGAAUCAUUUGGCAAACUUGAAGUACUUGGAUUUAAGUGGCAACAAAAUUGAAAGCAUCUCAAACAAAGGUAUAAGUAUUAAUUUGUGCAUGACUUUCCUAACAGACUUCAAACAAAGGAAAAAUUGUUGCAAUAAGUCAUUUGAUUUUAUCAUAUCAUGAAUAUAUAUAAGUAAUCAAUAUUUGGGAUUGAAUUUCAAAAUUCAGUAAUUUAAGUAGGAAGGUAUCUCAAACAAAGUAUUUAUAUAUUGAAUCAAUUCAUGGGAAAGCUUGUAAAUUGGCUCUUCCUUCUCAAACAAACAUUUUUCCUAACUAUUUAUAUCUUGCAUGAUGUUAACUAUACUAAUUAUUUUCUUCCAAUGAUAGAUGGAACACAAUUGAGGCUAACAAACUUAGAGGAACUUGAUUUGAGUGGUAAUCUCUUUCGGAACAACACAAUUUCCUUUCUGCAAGGGCUUUCAAGCCUAAAGUCUUUGACUUUGUUCAACAACCGUUUGCAAGGCUCAUUAGAUACUAAAGGUACUAAAGCUACAACUUUGUUUUUCUUGAUAAUUCUUUCUAGAGCCUUUUAAAAUUAAUUGUUUCAAAUUUUAACAUUCACAUUUCACGUUUGAGGAUUUUUAUCUUCAAUUCAAGUUUUAGAUUUACUUUUUUUUUCAUUUUUAUUUCAUUAAAAUAUUAAGUAGAAAUUAAAAUUAUUAACAUAAUGAUUUUUUGAAUUGGACGUGGAUAUGUAUAGGAUUGAGCAAUUUAACAAAUUUGAAGAAACUCAAUUUAGGUGGGAAUCAAAUUGAAAGCUUUCAAACCUUUAAAGGUAUGCAUUUAUAUUUAACCAAUUACCUAAAUUCUUACAUAUAAUUAAAUUUUAUGCCAAUUCAUUUCAGUGAUGAAAUUAUAUAAAUCUUUUGUAGAUGGUGGUAGAAAAUUGGAGUUGACCCACUUGGAAGAGCUUAAUUUAGCUGGAAAUCACUUCAAUACUAGUGUAUUUGUAUCCCUUAACAAGCUUUCAAAUUUGAAAUCUUUGAGCAUAUGGGACAAUGGAUUGAAAGGAUCAAUAGAUAUGAAAGGUAAAAAUAUUAGUUUUUUUAACAAGAAUAUAAUCAUGUUUGAAGAGAAUAUAAUGAAAUUGAUUUGUUGUUUUUGUUUUCCUAGAUUUGGAAGCAUUUAUCAACUUAAGGAAACAAGAUAUGAGCUAUAAUGAAUUGAAAGAUUUGGUGAUCCACCAAGGUAUCAUUUAAUUAAACUUCCUUUUUUUUUAAUUUAGAAAUUUAGUUUUGAUCUCAUAUAUUAUAAUAACUAAUAAAGUUAUAUCAUAUCAUACUUGAAAGUAAAAUAUGGGUUUGGUGAAACAUUUUCUAAAUCAUCCAUUAUAAUGUGUUUGGACUUUGGUUUGAAACUAAAAUUCUUUAAAAUUUUCAUCAUUUUAAAAUAUUAAUGUUUAUAAUUAUUUUGUUUGUAUAAAUAUAUUUUUUAAAAUAAUUUAUUGAAUUUUUAUGAGAUAAAAAAUAAUUAUAACAAUAAAAAAUGAUAUUAUAAAUAAAUAAAAACAUAUAUUUAUGAGAAAAUAUGUAAUAUAACUAUAUUUUAAUUUCAUAUAUUUUUAAUAGUAUAAAACAUAAAAAUACAUAUUAGCGUUAAAUAAAUGGCAUUUUUUGGCAAAAAUAAAUAAAUGUCAAUUUUGAAUAAUUUAAAAAAAAAUCUUUAAUUUUGUGAAAUUUAAACAUACAUUGAGAGGUGCUUAAACUUCCAUUGCAAUCUUUUUAUAAAUUUCAAAGUGCAUAUGUUUUUAACUUUUUGGUUUAAAAAAAUAUGAUAGGUCUACGUACUCUUUACUAAUUUGUAAUUUAAUUCUUAUACUUUUAUUUUCAAGAAUUUAAUCCCUGUUUUUUUAUAAAAAAAAAAUCAAAAUCCUAGUUCAAUUGUUAAAAUUGUUAAAAUUUUAAAAUAGUUUGUUGGUGUGACAUUUUGAAAUAAAAAAAAAACUUAGUAGUAAUGUAACUAAAAAAAUGACGUAAUGAACAUGGAUUUAAUAAAAUAAUUUUAACAAUAUUAAUAAAAUAAUUUUGAAUUUUGAAUUUUAACUUAACUCUAUUUUUGGGCCAAGAUUUAAUGCUUUAAAAUUUUCAUUUAAUCCGCUGAGUUUACUUAUAAUUCUUUUGAGUUUUAUUUAUUGGUGAGUAAAAUACCUAUUUGAUUUUUUUAUAUACUAUUGGCAUCUUUAAAGGUAAUAUAAUAAUUUUAGUGUAGACGUGUUUUAUUUUAUAAAUAUUAUUUAUAGUGUAGACAUGUGAAUUUUGAAUAAUUUAAAAAUAUCUUCAAUUUUAUGAAAUUUAAACAUACAUUUAGUGUAGACAUGUUUUAUUUUAUAAAUAUUAUUUAUAGUGUUGUUGAUUGGAGUUUGAAAAUUAUACAACUUAGCUAUAUCAGUUAAUUACUUAUAUUAAAAAAUAAUAUAAGAAAAUACUAAAAAGAAAAAAAAUAGUAUAAUUAAUAAAAUGGAUGAAGAGUUAUAUUAAAGUUUCAACAUCUUCUCUCUAUCAAAAUUUAUCUCAGAUAAAUCAUGAAUAAUCUAACUCAUAAAAAAUAUAUAUAUUUAUAUACUUCAUUUCAUUCACAGAAAAUAAAGCAUUCUACUUAGUAGAGGCUUUCUAUAAUACCGUUAUCUAAUACCUCUUGACAUUGCUUAGAUUCAAAUGUGUCGAGCAGUUUGGAGGAAAUAUAUCUUGACUAUUCUACUCUCAACACCAACAUUUUGCAAAGCAUUGGAGUAUUCGCUUCUCUUAAAACAUUGUCUUUAUAUCAUUGUGGACUUAUUGGUCCCUUACCUAAUCAAGGUAAAUAAUUUUAUGGCUCAAUUUGAUUUCUUUACUAGCUUUUGUAAUAUAAUAUCUCCUAUUCUAUUUAAUAGGACCAAAUUUAAUUAAAAUUUCUUCCAUGAAUUUAUAAAUUUUUCAGGAUGGUGUGAUCUAAAGAACCUUGAAGUAUUGGAUGUGAGCAACAAUGCACUUGAGGGGAUGCUUCCUCGUUGUUUUAGUAACUUGACAUCUCUUCGUGUGUUAGAUGUUUCAAGAGACCAUUUUCAAAUUCCGCUGUCAUUUGCACCAUUUGCAAACCUUUCAAACCUCAAAGCCCUUUUGAUUAAUGAAAACAAGAUGGUAAUGGAAUCUUCCUUUUAUACCUCAAUCCCAAAGUUCCAAUUGGAAGUCAUCAGAUUGCCAAAGUGCAUAGCAUCUCAACAACUCAGUCGUAAAUUUCCUACCUUUCUUUACUACCAAUAUGACUUGAGAUAUGUGGAUCUUUCUCAUAACAAUCUCAGUGGAACUGUAC
This 36606-nucleotide long non-coding RNA is filed under the name Gossypium barbadense (sea-island cotton). Its description in RNAcentral is "long non-coding RNA (GBAR_LNC023065)". The record is from RNAcentral. Lineage: Eukaryota; Viridiplantae; Streptophyta; Magnoliopsida; Malvales; Malvaceae.